Canis lupus familiaris (dog) is the source of this 1758-nucleotide long non-coding RNA. RefSeq lists it as uncharacterized. The record is from RefSeq and is a predicted model, not a curated record. NCBI's taxonomy places the organism in Eukaryota, Metazoa, Chordata, Mammalia, Carnivora, Canidae. The transcript is spliced from 5 exons.
AAAAGCAGUCGAUUUCAAGUAGAAGAAGUAAGCACCUGCUUGUUCUCAAAGAUGCUUCUGGUUUUUAAUCAGCUCAGAAGUCUGGAAAACCCUUGUAAGCAAGAAAACAAGCUAUUUCAUCUGGCUUCGGUUUCCAUUUCACCGCCAAGAAGGAUUGAUGGCUUGCGAGUCUGACCUGUCACUCAUGGAAAUUAGCUUGCUUUAUUCAGUUACCCAGGGAACGUUUGGGUUUAUGGACUCCUCUACUGUUAUGAAUUAUACAUGGCCUUUUUUUUCUUCUAUUGUAGAUGGAUCUAUAGUUAAGUAUGCAAUGUUCGAGAGCUUUUAUGGGUCAUAGAAAGCCUGUCAUGAUAGGACUGCAACUAUACUAAAUACUCAACUUUCACUCAUAUACAAAUAAGCAAUCGAAAAUAAGGAUGGGGAAGAUGGUGGAAGAGUAAGGUCCCCAAGUCACCUGUCCCCUCCAAAUUACCUAGAUAACCUUCAAAUCAUCCUGAAAAUUUAUGAAUCCGGCCUGAGAUUUAAAGAGAGAACAGCUGGAAUGCUACAGUGAGAAAAGUUCACGCUUCUAUCAAGUUUACAAGAACAGUUGUUGCCUCAGGAAGACUACACCCUGGAACAUCCUCACUCAGAAAACAAUCACAGGAUGUAGAAGCCACCAGAAGGCAGGGAAGCUCUUACAAUAUGUUGAGGAGAAGGUUGUUCUUCAAGCAAGUGUGUCCCAAGGACCUUCUCAGCAACACUAGGAGAUAAUAAAACAUUCAGGUAAAACUACCAGUGCUGCCAAGAUGAGCUCUAUAACCAAGGGGACUUCCAAGUGCCUCAGGAAUCCUCAGUACCCAAUGGCAUUAAGUGUCCUGCCUGCUACAACGUGUAUGAUGUUUCCUGCGACCCAGUUCUUCUUGCCUGCACUGGUACAGAGACAAAGCGUGUGGAAGUUAUUGGCAUAGGUACAACUAUUUCCACAGGAUUCUUGGUGUUCAUUUUCUCAAAGGAUAUAUCUGUGCUAGUUAUCUUUGCUGUGUAAUCAUUACUCCAAAACUUGGCAGUUUAAAACAAUGAGCAUUUAUUAUUUCAUGGCAUCUGAGGGUCAGGAGUUUGGAAGUGGCCUAGCUAAGUGCUUCUGGCUGAGUUUCUCAUGAAGUUGUAAUCUAGCUGUCAGCAGGGCCUGUCACCAGGAAGACCUGCUUCCAAGAUCACCCAUGUAGUUGUCAGGCUUGGUUCUUCUCUACAUGGGUCUCUGUGUGGGCUGCCUGGAUGUCCUUAUAAUGUAUUCCCCCACAGCAAGUGAUGAGAGAGAGAGAGAGAGAGAGAUAGAGAGAAGAGAAGAGAAGAGAGAAGAGAGAUAAGAGAGAUGGAGGGAGGGAGGAAGAGCACUAACUGGCAUUUCUCAGGGCAAAUGAUGACAGAGGGAGAAGAGGAGGAGAAGAGGGAGGGAGGAAGGAGAUACUACAGUUUCAAAGUAAUCAAAUAUCAGAAGGAACAUUUCUUCACUUCUGUUGUAUCCUGUUGGUUGCACAGAUCAACUCUGAUACAACAUGGGAGAAGAGUAUACAAGGACAUGAAUACUAAGAGAUCGCAGGCCAUCCUAGAGACUAACUACUAUGUACAGCAAAGGCUGAUACAGGGCCAAGUCCUAGUUCACUCUCCAAAGUUUGGAGGGAGCCAUCUGUCAGAAGAGAGAAGGGGGAGAGGAGAGGACGAGGAGAGGAGAGGGAAGAUGAAGAGAACACAACUGCUUUCCACAGGAAAGUCUGA